UACGGAAGGCAGCAGUGGGGAAUUUUGGACAAUGGGCGAAAGCCUGAUCCAGCCAUGCCGCGUGCAGGAUGAAGGCCUUCGGGUUGUAAACUGCUUUUGUACGGAACGAAAGACUCCUUCUAAUAAAGGGGUCCAUGACGGUACCGUAAGAAUAAGCACCGGCUAACUACGUGCCAGCAGCCGCGGUAAUACGUAGGGUGCAAGCGUUAAUCGGAAUUACUGGGCGUAAAGCGUGCGCAGGCGGUUAUAUAAGACAGAUGUGAAAUCCCCCGGGCUCAACCUGGGAACUGCAUUUUGUGACUGUAUAGCUAGAGUACGGUAGAGGGGGAUGGAAUUCCGCGUGUAGCAGUGAAAUGCGUAGAUAUGCGGAGGAACACCGAUGGCGAAGGCAAUCCCCUGGACCUGUACUGACGCUCAUGCACGAAAGCGUGGGGAGCAAACAGGAUUAGAUACC
This 454-nucleotide ribosomal RNA is filed under the name uncultured bacterium. RNAcentral's name for it is "bacterial SSU rRNA". It matches the Rfam family "Bacterial small subunit ribosomal RNA", at positions 340 to 786 of the family's 1533-position model. The record is from RNAcentral.